Molecule: long non-coding RNA, 466 nt
Organism: Hypanus sabinus (Atlantic stingray)
Lineage: Eukaryota; Metazoa; Chordata; Chondrichthyes; Myliobatiformes; Dasyatidae
Exons: 3
Source: RefSeq, a predicted model, not a curated record
CAGUUUGGGAAGUCCUGGAUUGACCUCUGAGGUAUACAGCCCGCUGCACACUUGCUGAUGAAGUCCAUGACAGUGGUGACAUACUCAUCUCGGGUGGGUGGCCUGCCUUUGAAAUGUACCAGUCUACUGACUCAAAGUGUAGACUCAUCGAUUUCCUCUGAGCAAAUGAAAGUUACAUAAGUCGUUUGCCAUUGCCUUCUUCUGGGCAGUGUCUUUACAAGACGGGUGACCUUAGCCAUUAUCAGCGCUCUUCAGAGAUUGUCUGCCUGGCAACAGUAGUCGCAUAACCAGGACUUGUGGUAUGCACCAGCUGCACAUACCACCACCCUCCACCUGAUCCCAUGGCUUCACAAGAAACUGAAUGGGGAUUGAAAAAGAAAGAAAGGAGUUUGCAAAGAUUUUGCGUGACAUCUAAAACUCUGACGAAAUUUCAUAGAUGUGUGGUGGAGAGUAUAUUAACUGGUUG